UUAACUCAAAUUUGUAUGAAGUUGGAACGUUUGCCGCUAGGGGCGCUCUUCCAACUCUUUACUAAUUUGAGUUG
This 74-nucleotide microRNA precursor is filed under the name Bombyx mori (domestic silkworm). Its description in RNAcentral is "mir-2807 microRNA precursor family". It matches the Rfam family "mir-2807 microRNA precursor family". Lineage: Eukaryota; Metazoa; Arthropoda; Insecta; Lepidoptera; Bombycidae. The record is from Rfam by way of RNAcentral.